UCUUUAGUUAAUUAGCAUAUCAUUCUUCUUUCUUCUCUAUUAGCAUUUGGGAUUAAAGGUUCCUUUGACCAAUUGCUUUGCGACGCAAGGAAGCAGAAAAAAUGAGAAAUCUUCAUUUCCUCAUCUUAUAUCUGUUGAGCAUCUCGACCUCCAUACAUUAUGUAGUUGUUACUUCUUUGCAUGUGAAGUAUCUUCCUGGUUUUGAAGGUCCUCUUCCUUUCGCGCUCGAGACAGGGUAUGUGAGUGUUGGUGAAUCUGAGGAUGUUGAGCUCUUUUACUACUUUGUAAAAUCAGAGAGAAAUCCAAAGAAAGAUCCUCUCAUGAUUUGGCUCACUGGUGGGCCUGGAUGCAGCUCCCUUUCUGCGUUACUCUUUGCAAACGGUAGGUAACAAAUGGUUUUGAUUGUUACCAGAUGAGUUGUGUAGUUUAAUGGAACCCUAAAUUUCAUGAUUUACAUAAAUCAGACUUGGAGGACUAAGACAAGUAUUUCAGUUGAUGUCUUUUUCUUCCUCAAAUGGGUUUUGUUAGGUCCUUUAGUAUUUAAAAAGGAUGAAUAUAAUGGGACACUGCCUCCUCUGGAGCUAGCAUCUUUUUCUUGGACAAAGGGGAGAGACUAAACCAACUUUUUUUAGUCUCUUCUGUUAGUAGUAGUCAAAAGUAGCUAAAAGGCAAGAGAUUACACCAACGUUUGUACAUAAAACCGUUCUUCUCUUUCCUAUAAAUUGCUUCAAUUUUUUUUUUAAAUACAACAUUUUUCAGAUUUGUAUAUAAUUCAUAUUUUUAGGUAGCUAACAUUUUAUUAUUGGAAUCUCCUGUUGGCACUGGAUAUUCUUAUGCGAAAACUCCGCUUGCUUCUGAGGCGAGCGACACCAAACAAUUUCAUCAAAUCGACCAAUUCCUUAGAAGAUGGUUGGUUGAUCACCCUGAGUUUAUUUCGAGUCCAUUUUACGUUGGUGGAGAUUCAUAUGCUGGGCACAUUGUUCCAGGAGUUGUGCAACAGAUUUCACUUGGAAAUGAGAAAGGUCUAACACCAUUCAUAAGUCUUCAGGGAUAUGUUCUUGGAAACCCUGUGACAAACCUAAAAAUUGAAACUAAUCAUAGAGUUUCAUUUGCUCAUGGGAUGGGACUAAUUUCGCAUGAGCUCUUUGAGUCUCUUGAAAAAAGUUGUGGAGGAAACUACAUGGAUGUACACCCGAGUAAUGCAAAAUGCGUAAAAAAUCUUCAAGCUUAUAAAAAUUGUAUCUCGGAGAUAUACACAGAGCAGAUUUUGUUACCAAAUUGCCCAGUAGAUUAUGUACCACAAAAACUACAAUUCUUACCAAACAUCAAAAACGGUAGAAGAAGAGAACUGAAGGAGUUUUCAGGACUUAUGGUCAAUUUCUGGCUUCCUUUUGGGCAAACGAUGAAAUUGUACGCAGAGCUCUAGGAGUGAAGAAGGAGUUAGGAAAAUGGACCCGAUGCAACUUCCAAAACAUUCCAUAUACAUAUGAUAUUGACAGUCCCAUUCCAUAUCACGUGAACAACAGUCGUAAAGGCUUCCGCUCUCUCAUAUCAAGAAUUUUGUUUAUUCAUGUGUCAAAUAUUAGUUAAAUAUCAUUCAUUCUUGUUGUGUAAGUCACAAACUCAGUAUCUGGAAGUUUUUGAACAGUGGUGAUCAUGAUAUGUCAAUACCUUUCACUGCAACGGAAGAAUGGAUCAAAGGUCUCAACUAUUCCAUUGUUGAUGACUGGAGACCUUGGAUGAUGAGUAGCUAUCAAGUCGGUGGAUAUACAAGGACUUACGCGAAUAAGAUGACAUUUGCAACCA
RNA transcript from Brassica napus (rape), 1806 nucleotides. It is a transcript of the gene named serine carboxypeptidase-like 19, with no coding region annotated. Lineage: Eukaryota; Viridiplantae; Streptophyta; Magnoliopsida; Brassicales; Brassicaceae. The record is from RefSeq and is a predicted model, not a curated record. The transcript has 9 exons.